GACGAACGCUGGCGGCGUGCCUAAUACAUGCAAGUGGGACGCAAGGGAACACACUGUGCUUGCACACCGUGUUUUCUUGAGUCGCGAACGGGUGAGUAACGCGUAGGUAACCUGCCUAUUAGCGGGGGAUAACUAUUGGAAACGAUAGCUAAUACCGCAUAAUAUUAAUUAUUGCAUGAUAAUUGAUUGAAAGAUGCAAGCGCAUUACUAGUAGAUGGACCUGCGUUGUAUUAGCUAGUUGGUAAGGUAAGAGCUUACCAAGGCGACGAUACAUAGCCGACCUGAGAGGGUGAUCGGCCACACUGGGACUGAGACACGGCCCAGACUCCUACGGGAGGCAGCAGUAGGGAAUCUUCGGCAAUGGACGAAAGUCUGACCGAGCAACGCCGCGUGAGUGAAGAAGGUUUUCGGAUCGUAAAGCUCUGUUGUAAGUCAAGAACGUGUGUGAGAGUGGAAAGUUCAC
RNAcentral lists this ribosomal RNA (463 nucleotides) under Streptococcus mutans. RNAcentral describes it as "bacterial SSU rRNA". It matches the Rfam family "Bacterial small subunit ribosomal RNA", at positions 28 to 467 of the family's 1533-position model. The record is from RNAcentral. Lineage: Bacteria; Bacillati; Bacillota; Bacilli; Lactobacillales; Streptococcaceae.